Non-coding RNA from Stegodyphus mimosarum, 73 nucleotides. Lineage: Eukaryota; Metazoa; Arthropoda; Arachnida; Araneae; Eresidae. The record is from Rfam.
GCCUUCGUGGUGUAAUGGUCAGCACCCUGAACCGGUAUUUCAGAGGUCCGUGGUUCGAUUCCCGGCGAAGGCG